ACGGAUUUGGUCCUGGUCCUAAUUUUGAUUUAUUCAAAGACGAUACAUGCAAGCAAUUUGCACUACGGUGAAGACUAAAAAUUACCCUUUUAAUAAAAAUGGUAAAACCACAAAGUAUCAGACUAUUUGUUAAGUCAACGACGCUUAGAACUUCCACACCUGCAGUACCUAACAUUAUACAAUAGGUAAAAACCUGAUAUAACUAUUGAUAAAAGGAUUGGUCAAAUAUGUGCCAGCCACCGCGGUUAUACAUAUAAUUCUUAUCAAAAUAAACGGUAAAAUUGUGGUUAAUAGCUUAAUAAAAUUAAAAUAGAUGUUAACUUUAGCAGUAAUAAGCUCACAGAACACCUCUAACACUCCAAAACCAAUUUUAAUUUUUAAUUUGAACCCACUAAAGCUUAAAGAUAAACUGGGAUUAGAUACCCCACUAUAUAAGCUAUAAAAAAUAAACACCUGAGAACUACGAACACAGUUUAAAACUCAAAGGACUUGGCGGUUUUUUAGAUCUCCCUGGAGGAGCUUGCUAUCAAAUCGAUAACCCACGAAAACCUUACCAACUUUUGAAAAAACAACUUGUAUACCAUCGUCGUCAGUCUACCUCAUAAGAGAGUAUACCCAACAAACACCUCUUUACAACGUCAGAUCAAGGUGCAGUUUAUAAGCUGGAGAUACGUGAGCUACAAUACUCUACUAAAAAUCUUAAUUGUGGAUAACUUAAUGAAAAAAUUUUGAAAUAGGAUUCAGCAGUAAUAAUUAAAAUUUAUUAAUUAUGAAAAUAAGCUCUAAAAUGCG
This 792-nucleotide non-coding RNA is filed under the name Caymanostella cf. spinimarginata KVM-2021. The record is from RNAcentral. Lineage: Eukaryota; Metazoa; Echinodermata; Asteroidea; Velatida; Caymanostellidae.